AACGAACGCUGGCGGCAUGCCUAAAACAUGCAAGUCGAACGAGAUCUUCGGGUCUAGUGGCGCACGGGUGCGUAACGCGUGGGAAUCUGCCCUUUGGUUCGGAAUAACAGUCGGACACGACUGCUAAUACCGGAUGAUGACGACAGUCCAAAGGUUUAUCGCCAUAGGAUGAGCCCGCGUAGGAUUAGCUAGUUGGUGUGGUAAAGGUGCACCAAGGCGACGAUCCUUAGCUGGUCUGAGAGGAUGAUCAGCCACACUGGGACUGAGACCCGGCCCAGACUCCUACGGGAGGCAGCAGUGGGUAAUAGUGGACAAUGGGCGAAAGCCUGAUCCAGCAAUGCCGCGUGAAUGAUGAAGGCCUUAGGGUUGUAAAGCUCUUUUACCCGGGAUGAUAAUGACGGUACCGGAAGAAUAAGCUCCGGCUAACUCCGUGCCAGCCGCCGCCGUAA
RNAcentral lists this ribosomal RNA (449 nucleotides) under uncultured bacterium. Its description in RNAcentral is "partial 16S ribosomal RNA". It matches the Rfam family "Bacterial small subunit ribosomal RNA", at positions 29 to 523 of the family's 1533-position model. The record is from RNAcentral.